UAGAGUUUGAUCCUGGCUCAGAUUGAACGCUGGCGGCAUGCCUAACACAUGCAAGUCGAACGGCAGCGCGGGCUUCGGCCUGGCGGCGAGUGGCGGACGGGUGAGGAAUACAUAGGAAUCUGCCCAGUCGUGGGGGAUAACCCGGGGAAACCCGGACUAAUACCGCAUACGACGGUGACGUGAAAGCCGGGGACCUUCGGGCCUGGCGCGAUUGGAUGAGCCUAUGUCGGAUUAGCUUGUUGGCGGGGUAAAGGCCCACCAAGGCGACGAUCCGUAGCUGGUCUGAGAGGAUGAUCAGCCACACUGGGACUGAGACACGGCCCAGACUCCUACGGGAGGCAGCAGUGGGGAAUAUUGGACAAUGGGCGCAAGCCUGAUCCAGCAAUGCCGCGUGGGUGAAGAAGGCCUUCGGGUUGUAAAGCCCUUUUGUACGGGAAGAAAUCAUCCGGGUUAAUACCCUGGGUGGAUGACGGUACCGUAAGAAUAAGCACCGGCUAACUUCGUGCCAGCAGCCGCGGUAAUACGAAGGGUGCAAGCGUUAAUCGGAAUUACUGGGCGUAAAGCGUGCGUAGGUGGUUGUUCAAGUCUGUCGUGAAAGCCCUGGGCUCAACCUGGGAAUGGCGAUGGAAACUGGGCGACUGGAGUGCGGUAGAGGAUGGCGGAAUUCCCGGUGUAGCGGUGAAAUGCGUAGAGAUCGGGAGGAACAUCCGUGGCGAAAGCGGCCAUCUGGACCAGCACUGACACUGAGCACGAAAGCGUGGGGAGCAAACAGGAUUAGAUACCCUGUAGUCCACGCCCUAAACGAUGCGAACUGGAUGUUGGUCUCAACUUGGAGAUCAGUGUCGAAGCUAACGCGUUAAGUUCGCCGCCUGGGGGAGUACGGUCGCAAGACUGAAACUCAAAGGAAUUUGACGGGGGCCCGCCACAAG
This 929-nucleotide ribosomal RNA is filed under the name uncultured bacterium. RNAcentral's name for it is "bacterial SSU rRNA". It matches the Rfam family "Bacterial small subunit ribosomal RNA", at positions 1 to 929 of the family's 1533-position model. The record is from RNAcentral.